This 76-nucleotide transfer RNA is filed under the name bacterium. RNAcentral's name for it is "tRNA-Thr". It matches the Rfam family "tRNA". Rfam says of the family: Transfer RNA (tRNA) molecules are approximately 80 nucleotides in length. RNAcentral also lists the same sequence under 2 other names. The record is from RNAcentral.
GCCAAUGUAGCUCAGUUGGUAGAGCAGCUCACUCGUAAUGAGCAGGUCAGCGGUUCGAGUCCGCUCAUUGGCUCCA